UACACACCGCCCGUCGCUACUACCGAUUGAAUGGCUCAGUGAGGCUUUCGGACUGGCCCAGAGAGGUGGGCAACUACCACUCAGGGCCGGAAAGUUAUCCAAACUCGGUCAUUUAGAGGAAGUAAAAGUCGUAACAAGGUCUCCGUUGGUGAACCAGCGGAGGGAUCAUUACUGAGUUACCGCUCUACAACCCUUUGUGAACAUACCUAACCGUUGCUUCGGCGGGCAGGGGAAGCCUCUCGCGGGCCUCCCCUCCCGGCGCCGGCCCCACCACGGGGACGGGGCGCCCGCCGGAGGAAACCAAACUCUAUUUACACGACGUCUCUUCUGAGUGGCACAAGCAAAUAAUUAAAACUUUUAACAACGGAUCUCUUGGUUCUGGCAUCGAUGAAGAACGCAGCGAAAUGCGAUAAGUAAUGUGAAUUGCAGAAUUCAGUGAAUCAUCGAAUCUUUGAACGCACAUUGCGCUCGCCAGCAUUCUGGCGAGCAUGCCUGUUCGAGCGUCAUUUCAACCCUCAAGCACCGCUUGGUUUUGGGGCCCCACGGCAGACGUGGGCCCUUAAAGGUAGUGGCGGACCCUCCCGGAGCCUCCUUUGCGUAGUAACUAACGUCUCGCACUGGGAUCCGGAGGGACUCUUGCCGUAAAACCCCCAAAUUCUUUACAGGUUGACCUCGGAUCAGGUAGGAAUACCCGCUGAACUUAA
Molecule: ribosomal RNA, 704 nt
Filed under: Colletotrichum acutatum
Lineage: Eukaryota; Fungi; Ascomycota; Sordariomycetes; Glomerellales; Glomerellaceae
Description: eukaryotic LSU rRNA
Rfam family: 5.8S ribosomal RNA (bases 353-506)
Source: RNAcentral